CUACGGGAGGCUCCAGUGAGGAAUUUUGCGCAAUGGGGGGAACCCUGACGCAGCAACGCCGCGUGAGUGAAGAAGGCCUUUGGGUCGUAAAGCUCUGUCAACUGGGAAGAAAUUAGAGUUGUUUAACAGAUGAUUCUAUUGACGGUACCAGUGGAGGAAGCGCCGGCUAACUCCGUGCCAGCAGCCGCGGUAACACGGGGGGCGCAAGCGUUAUUCGGAAUUAUUGGGCGUAAAGGGCGCGCAGGCGGUCUUGUCGGUCAGGUGUGAAAGCCCGGGGCUCAACCCUGGAAGUGCACUUGAAACAGCAAGACUUGAGUACGGGAGAGGAGAGCGGAAUUCCUGGUGUAGAGGUGAAAUUCGUAGAUAUCAGGAGGAACACCGAUGGCGAAGGCAGCUUUCUGGACCGAUACUGACGCUGAGGCGCGAAGGCGUGGGUAGCGAACGGGAUUAGAUACCCGAGUAGUC
Molecule: ribosomal RNA, 465 nt
Filed under: uncultured bacterium
Lineage: Bacteria
Description: partial 16S ribosomal RNA
Rfam family: Bacterial small subunit ribosomal RNA
Source: RNAcentral